CGGGUGUUGAAACUCCUGAGAGUCUACCACUCACACUAAUUCCCUACUUGAACGGUUAGGAUUACCUUCACUUCAACCAUCCAGCAUUAUAGCAUGGCAACAGUUAUUGGACUGUGCCUGCGAGUUAAGCUGAUGCGCUGUUUCCCUCCACAUUUCAAGGUGGGUCUUCUUAAUGUGGACGGUUACUACAACUCCCUUCUUACUUUCAUCAAAAAGUUGUGGACGAUGGAUUCAUCAAGCCCAAUCAGCGCCACAUAAUCGUGUCCACACCAAACGCCAAAGAGUUGGUGCAGAAACUAGAGAUACCAAAGGCAUCGACAAAUACCCGAAAGUUCAGAAGCAGAUGCAGGCCUUGUUGGCCACAUUCACCUUGAUAAGGUGUGUUUGCCCUGCAUAAAAUUUGGUUUAGUUUCUUUCUUGAGAUAACUUAUUUUCAGAAACAGUGACACUAUAAAUUCUGUUACAUGUGGAACUCAUU
Long non-coding RNA from Magnolia sinica, 478 nucleotides. RefSeq lists it as uncharacterized. The transcript has 3 exons. The record is from RefSeq and is a predicted model, not a curated record. Lineage: Eukaryota; Viridiplantae; Streptophyta; Magnoliopsida; Magnoliales; Magnoliaceae.